RNAcentral lists this unclassified non-coding RNA (247 nucleotides) under Hevea brasiliensis (rubber tree). Lineage: Eukaryota; Viridiplantae; Streptophyta; Magnoliopsida; Malpighiales; Euphorbiaceae. The record is from RNAcentral.
GGAGCCAAUUCUUCGAAGAGUUGUAAGAUUAUUAGGCCCCCUUUAGAACUCUCAUCCUAUUCAUUGGGCAUUACUUAUGUGAAAUUUCAUUUAACCAACCAACCACUCCAUGGUAACUUGUGAAAGUUUGGUUUUCAAUUACAUAACUACUGUGGCAUGAUACAUAUUUCCAGAAGACUCAGCAUGACAGAUAUUUUACUUCUGAAGGAAUACAAUGAAAUAAUCGUAACUGCAAGCUUUGUGACUA